AACGAACGCUGGCGGCAUGCCUAACACAUGCAAGUCGAACGGGACCUUCCGGUCUAGUGGCGCACGGGGGCGUAACGCGGGGGAACCUGCCCUUAGGUUCGGAAUAACUCCCCGAAAGGUGUGCUAAUACCGGUUAAUGUCUUCGGACCAAAGAUUUAUCGCCUUUGGAUGGGGCCGCGUUGGAUUCGCUGGUUGGUAGGGUAAAAGCCUACCAAGGCGACGAUCCAUAGCUGGUCUGAGAGGAUGAUCAGCCACACUUGGACUGAGACACGGCCCAGACUCCUACGGGAGGCAGCAGUGGGGAAUAUUGGACAAUGGGCGAAAGCCUGAUCCAGCAAUGCCGCGUGAGUGAUGAAGGCCUUAGGGUUGUAAAGCUCUUUUACCCGGGAUGAUAAUGACAGUACCGGGAGAAUAAGCUCCGGCUAACUCCGUG
Molecule: ribosomal RNA, 433 nt
Filed under: uncultured bacterium
Lineage: Bacteria
Description: partial 16S ribosomal RNA
Rfam family: Bacterial small subunit ribosomal RNA
Source: RNAcentral